Molecule: long non-coding RNA, 1492 nt
Filed under: Mytilus galloprovincialis (Mediterranean mussel)
Lineage: Eukaryota; Metazoa; Mollusca; Bivalvia; Mytilida; Mytilidae
Source: RNAcentral
GGCGUAGCUAGACAAAUGUUGAAGUUGAAGCCCAAAUCGGCAGGGGGUCUGGGGGCCGCUUAAGGCCCCCAGUGGGUCCAGGGCAAAGCCCUGGUAGGGGUCCAGGGGGCGAAGCCCCCUGAAGCUCCUGGAUUUUAGGGUUUUAGACCCACAAAUAUUAACUGAAAAUAUUGAAUGUUAAGGUGUAGUCAAAAGCAUUUUUGUUUGAUACAAGUCAGAUAAUUUUGUGAAAAAAUAUAUAUUGUUCCUCAAAGAAACUGUAAAAACCAGGAGAUUCCAGUGGGAUAAAAAGGUUAUAUUUGCUAAGACCAGUGUCUCGCCUGCUUUAAGAAUCUAAUAAAUGUUUUAAGAACUUUAACUGCAGACUGUAUGUAACUGGAUGAAAAACUAAGUCCAUAUAUAAGUAAUAUACGGAAAAACAGGAAAUAUAUAUUUUUUUAAUUUCCUUCUAGAUACUAGCUUUUGAUCAUAUUCAAGCUUCUGUCCAAGUUUGGUAGAAAUCCAGGGUUGUUUAAGAAAGUUAUUAAAAUUUCAAAAACUUUAACCACACAGUGAAUAUUUCUGGACGCCGCCGCCGACGACGACGACGGAAUGUAAAGAUCGCGUUUGUGACAAAAGUCGCAGGCUCGACAAAAACCAAACCAUUAAAAAUUGUUUGGUGAUGAGAUGUAAACAAUAUAUUCAGGUUAAUAUAAUGGGUACCCAGGUUAGGGCAGGAUGGUGCCUUCAAAUUAGUUUAGCCCCGCCACAUUCGGUAUGUGCCUGUCCCAAGUCAGGAGCAUGUAAUUCAGUGUAAUGGUUGUCGUUUGUUGCUGUAUCAUAUUUGUUUUUCUUUCAUUAUUUUGUACAUGAAUCAGGCCGUUAGUUUUCUCGUUUGAAUUGUUUGUGUGGAUAUGAAUUAUUAAAAGAGUCAAAGCAGGGACUUUCUAUACUAACUAGUAUAGACUGUCCCUGGUCAGAGUCAAUCUCUCUCACCAACAAAAAAGCAAGCUAAUGUCAAUUACUUUAUCAAUGGACGUCUCCUUGUACGCGUGAAGGAUACAUCUAUAGCCCCGAAAGUCGUUCGGUUGUCAUCGUAUAACGCAGAUAUGUUUUAACCCGGCACAUGACACUGAAACUGCGUUGAUUCAGCGGUGAAAUUGGUCACAGGCAUUGUCAAUUCUGCGUUGCAUUGUAAAUAGCAGAACACCCUGCAGACACAAUAUUCGUCUGCUAUAAAAAGAGGGGAAAUAAAGCGCUGGUGAUGGGAACGAACGCCGAGAGUCUGAGAAGUGAUAUCGACUCGUUGACUUCUACAACUUUUUGUUUAUUUAACCGCACAGUGCCCAUUUAUUUCCCCCUUCACUUUCUUUCACUCGGAGUCUCCUCCCUCUCUCUCAUACCUCUAGCUCGUUUUUAUUUUUUAUUAUUUUUAUUAUGAUUUUUUGUUUUUGACAAAACGAUGUUGAAGCCUUGGCUUCCGAGCUUCCGCCUAGCUACGCCACUGGCAGUA